AUGAACGCUAGCGACAGGCUUAACACAUGCAAGUCGAGGGGUAACAGGGUAGCAAUACCGCUGACGACCGGCGCACGGUGAGUAACGCGUAUGCAACCUGCCUAUAACUGGGGAAUAGCUCCCUGAAAGGGGAAUUAACACCGCAUAACACUAUUGAUUCGCAUGGAUUAGUAGUUAAAUGUAGCGAUACAGGUUAUAGAUGGGCAUGCGUGACAUUAGCUAGUUGGUGAGGUAACGGCUCACCAAGGCUACGAUGUCUAGGGGUUCUGAGAGGAAGGUCCCCCCACACUGGUACUGAGACACGGACCAGACUCCUACGGGAGGCAGCAGUGAGGAAUAUUGGUCAAUGGGCGCAAGCCUGAACCAGCCAUGUCGCGUGCAGGAAGAACCUGCCCUAUGGGUUGUAAACUGCUUUUAUAGUAGAAGAAACACAUCUACGCGUAGAUGUCUGCCAGUAUACUAUGAAUAAGCAUCGGCUAACUCCGUGCCAGCCGCCGC
RNAcentral lists this ribosomal RNA (498 nucleotides) under uncultured bacterium. RNAcentral's name for it is "bacterial SSU rRNA". It matches the Rfam family "Bacterial small subunit ribosomal RNA", at positions 29 to 518 of the family's 1533-position model. The record is from RNAcentral.